This 406-nucleotide ribosomal RNA is filed under the name uncultured bacterium. RNAcentral's name for it is "partial 16S ribosomal RNA". It matches the Rfam family "Bacterial small subunit ribosomal RNA", at positions 30 to 526 of the family's 1533-position model. The record is from RNAcentral.
AUUGAACGCUGGCGGCAGGCCUAACACAUGCACGUCGAACGAGUGGCGGACGGGUGAGUAAUGUCUGGGAAACUGCCCGAUGGAGGGGGAUAACUACUGGAAACGGUCGCUAAUACCGCAUACCAUCGGAUGUGCCCAGCUGGGAUUAGCUCGUAGGUGGGGUAACGGCUCACCGAGGCGACCAUCCCUAGCUGGUCUGUGCGGAUGACCAGCCACACUGGAACUGAGACACGGUCCAGAAUCCUACGGGAGGCAGCAGUGGGGAAUAUUGCACAAUGGGGGCAAGCCUGAUGCAGCCAUGCCGCGUGUAUGAAGAAGGCGUUCGGGUUGUAAAGUACUUUCAGCGAGGAGGCGUUACUCGCAGAAGAAGCACCGGCUAACUCCGUGCCAGCAGCCGCGGUAAUAC